Molecule: ribosomal RNA, 496 nt
Filed under: uncultured bacterium
Lineage: Bacteria
Description: partial 16S ribosomal RNA
Rfam family: Bacterial small subunit ribosomal RNA
Source: RNAcentral
GACGAACGCUGGCGGCGUGCCUAAUACAUGCAAGUUGAGCGCUGAAGGUUGGUACUUGUCCCGACUGGAUGAGCAGCGAACGGGUGAGUAACGCGUGGGGAAUCUGCCUUUGAGCGGGGGACAACAUUUGGAAACGAAUGCUAAUACCGCAUAAAAACUUUAAACACAAGCUUUAAGUUUGAAAGAUGCAAUUGCAUCACUCAAAGAUGAUCCCGCGUUGUAUUAGCUAGUUGGUGAGGUAAAGGCUCACCAAGGCGAUGAUACAUAGCCGACCUGAGAGGGUGAUCGGCCACAUUGGGACUGAGACACGGCCCAAACUCCUACGGGAGGCAGCAGUAGGGAAUCUUCGGCAAUGGACGAAAGUCUGACCGAGCAACGCCGCGUGAGUGAAGAAGGUUUUCGGAUCGUAAAACUCUGUUGGUAGAGAAGAACGUUGGUGAGAGUGGAAAGCUCAUCAAGUGACGGUAACUACCCAGAAAGGGACGGCUAACUACGU